Molecule: long non-coding RNA, 443 nt
Filed under: Zostera marina
Lineage: Eukaryota; Viridiplantae; Streptophyta; Magnoliopsida; Alismatales; Zosteraceae
Description: long non-coding RNA (ZMAR_LNC003408)
Source: RNAcentral
CCAAAUUAACUCUACCUACGGAAGAACGUGGGCAGAGAAAGUCUUAAUGGUAACAGAAUCAGAAUGCGUAUCCCGUUCAAAGAAAAGAGUAAACCUCACCUACGGAAACGUAGUGUUAGACGAGGGAUGUACUCAAAAGUGAACCCUACCUACGGAAAAACGUAGGUUAGACGGGGAACACAUCGAAAAAAGUGAACCCCACCUACGGAAGAACGUAGGUUAGACGGGGAACACAUCGAAAAGGGUGAACCCCACCUACGGAAGAACGUAGGUUAGACGGGGAACACAUCGGCUAAAGGUGAACCUCACCUACGGAAACGUAGUGUUAGACGAGGGAUAUACUCAAAAAGUGAACCCCACCUACGGAAGAACGUAGGUUAGACGGGGAACACAUCGGCUAAAGGGAGAACCUCACCUACGGAAACGUAGUGUUAGACGAGGGA